CAGCAGCCGCCGCGGUAAUACGAAGGGUGCAAGCGUUACUCGGAAUUACUGGGCGUAAAGCGUGCGUAGGUGGUGGUUUAAGUCCGUUGUGAAAGCCCUGGGCUCAACCUGGGAAUUGCAGUGGAUACUGGGUCACUAGAGUGUGGUAGAGGAUAGUGGAAUUUCCGGUGUAGCAGUGAAAUGCGUAGAGAUCGGAAGGAACAUCUGUGGCGAAGGCGACUAUCUGGGCCAACACUGACACUGAGGCACGAAAGCGUGGGGAGCAAACAGGAUUAGAGACCCCCGUAGUCCCUGUCUCUUAUAC
This 304-nucleotide ribosomal RNA is filed under the name uncultured bacterium. RNAcentral's name for it is "partial 16S ribosomal RNA". It matches the Rfam family "Bacterial small subunit ribosomal RNA", at positions 506 to 807 of the family's 1533-position model. The record is from RNAcentral.